UAUAUCAAUCAUAAAGAUAUUAUAAAUCAUAAAGGGACCACCAUUAAAAUGUGAUAUGACAUGCAUGUUUUUUCUUUUGACCAAACAGGAGAAAUGUUUGCAAAUGAAUCUAUCCCCUAGUAAAUACCGAUUUUAUCUUUAACUAACUAUAACGCCAGCUAAGCAGUUAAUCCAUACAUGUGCACAAACAUGUAAUACUCAGCAAAUGUUUACAUGCUCGUUGGUUGUAGGAGCCCUCUGCUGGACACUGUGUGAAUCACAUCCUCCUCGGUGCUCCUAAUGAAGUAGCUGUUAUUUAGUCUACUGUCUGUAAGAUCUCUUUUACAAAUAUCAGUAUUACUCCAAAUAAAGGGAAUUUUUAUAAGAAGUUUAGUGAAAUUGACUGAAUUUGUUACUGUUGUCAUGUUUGUUCAUAACUUCUUAAAAUCUUGCCAGAACCUGUAAACGUCCUGAAACAUUGCUUCCUGUAAAUUAAUAAACAAGAU
Molecule: long non-coding RNA, 485 nt
Organism: Sinocyclocheilus anshuiensis
Lineage: Eukaryota; Metazoa; Chordata; Actinopteri; Cypriniformes; Cyprinidae
Exons: 3
Source: RefSeq, a predicted model, not a curated record